This is a long non-coding RNA of Eutrema salsugineum, 327 nucleotides long. RefSeq lists it as uncharacterized. The record is from RefSeq and is a predicted model, not a curated record. Lineage: Eukaryota; Viridiplantae; Streptophyta; Magnoliopsida; Brassicales; Brassicaceae. The transcript is spliced from 3 exons.
GGUGGAGUUACCCAGAGCCUUUAUGUCACUAGACGACAUUCACCAAAUCACAGCAGAGCUGAAACUUUGGCCCAGGUCAAAUAAUACUUCCUUGUGUGGGGUUAUGUGAAAAGUGCAACCGGAAUCCAUUACCCAUGCAUUUUUGGAGUCCUGCAAACUCACCGUGAGGACCAGAGGUUGCUUCCCCUCUGUUGCAACGUUUGCCGAAGAAUCUCCAUUCUUCUUCUGGCCUUUACUCGGGCAUUCUCUUUUCCAAUGCCCCUCUUUCCCACAGAUGAAACAGCCCUUCUGAUGAAGACUUUCCCUUACCUAGGAGUCCCUUUUGCC